CAGAUUUAAUAAAAUGCAGCAAGAUAUUAAGCAACCAAAGAUCAUCUCAACACUUUGUUUCCUCUCUUCUUCACCAGGUUAAGAAUACUAGAAGAUGUAGCAAUCAACACUGUAAAACAUUAAAAGUUCCUAUAUUCAUGAGUAGAAUACAGGAAAACGAAUCAAUUAUCACAGAACUUGAGAAUUACAGUCUUAUAUCAACAAAACACAUAAACCGUAGCUCUGCUAGUUACCUUGAGAAUACGUAGAAAACGUGAAACACUCUGCUUGAUUAACCGUUGCUUGAAUUAAAGAUCACAUUUUACUAAAAUCCAAAGCAAUUAAUUAACCUGCAAAUAUUUAUCAAGCAACUAAAACAUCAAAGAUGCAAUCAAAUUCAACCCAUUGUCAACUGCACUAGCAAAUGAUCAAUGGAGGAAAAGAAAAUCUAACCUUGAAUUUAUCUUCAGCAGCAUCGAGGCGGCGCUGCCGCUGAGUCGCUUAUGUUGCUUCCCGUUGUCGAGCAGCUUCCUGGUUGACCUUUCUCUCUCUAUCUAGCUUGAGCUUCGCCCUCUGUUUUCUCUCCCUCUGCUCCUUCUCCAGCUUCUCUCUUGCUCUCCUCAAUUCAAAAUCCAUUACACAAAUUAGGAAAAUGAACAAAAAACCCAUAUAUUUUCAAACAAAAAAUUGAUCAAUCUCGACUACAAUCAAAACCGAAAAACAAAGAAAAGAAAUUCAAUACCUAGUUUUGAUUUCGCUUGGUGAGAGGCGUGAGUUCUAACUCAUCCACCACCGAACUUAGACAAAAAGCUCCGGUCUGGUCUGGUCUUGAAGGAAUCAAGUUCUGACCGGCAACUCCGGGUUGGACAUAGGCGGCCGAGGGCAGGAAUCUGCAAUAAGGUAAGGAAAUAGGUAGCCGAGGGCGGGAAUCCCCGACGAAAGAAGCGGCGGG
RNAcentral lists this long non-coding RNA (931 nucleotides) under Salvia miltiorrhiza (redroot sage). Its description in RNAcentral is "long non-coding RNA (SMIL_LNC008260)". Lineage: Eukaryota; Viridiplantae; Streptophyta; Magnoliopsida; Lamiales; Lamiaceae. The record is from RNAcentral.